This is a non-coding RNA of Zootermopsis nevadensis, 1711 nucleotides long. NCBI's taxonomy places the organism in Eukaryota, Metazoa, Arthropoda, Insecta, Blattodea, Termopsidae. The record is from RefSeq and is a predicted model, not a curated record.
UUUCUGAGACACGGUGACGAUGUAGAUUAUGGUAUUCUGGAAUGUGAUGCUGUGUAAGUUUGGGUUGGUGGUUACCAGCGUGUCGGAGGAACAUACUGCCUAAAUCUUCAGGGAGAGUAACAACCUUAGAAUACACAGUCUAUAUGAGACUCCUUGAAUAGGCCUAAUUUAUUGUAAUUUUGAAGUUUAUUCCUUAGAGCGCCUGAUUUGUAUUCUUAUGUGACCACGUUGUGACAUUGGUGGCACUGUUUGGUAGUAUAUGGACCAGCGGGUUUCAACCCGUGUGUUAAUGUCGGCAGUAUCUGCAUUAGUGUCCCUGUCAGAAAGUGUUCAGUUAAAUGAGGGACUUCAAAUCAAGAGCUAACAACUUCAUAAGGAUGCAUGCGAAUCGGAAAUAUCUUAAUCAAGCUCGAUAUUGAAAGAUUAAGCAAACGCUAUGUCAGAUAUCUUCGUAAUGACUGGUUUUGUUACAGGAAAAACUUAAUAAUAUGCAUAUAUUUAGUAGCAUUUUGAAUAAUUACUAUGAAUUUUAGUAAAUUAUCCUUUUACAACCUUGAAGCCCACGAGUCGAUAAGCAAGGGGGUAUGUGGACCAAGGCGUACAAAACGCUGAGAACCCCUAGAUAACUUUUCCCCCUUACUGUACUUUUCCAAUUAAUUAACUCCUAUACCGAUAAUAGGCCGAGUGUUAUCCUAUUGUGUGCGGCUAAAAGGAUCACCAAUUUCAACACGGAACCCGAGGAUAACAAUUUCAGACUGCAGAAUGGAAGCUUUUCUAUUCUGUCUCGUCCAAGAAAGAUCCUGAUGUAAACAAAGAGGAGUGACAGUGGCCUUCUGGCCACCGCACGAAUGGAGGAAGAUCGCUGCGCGUGUGUCAACCUCGUGUGCGUAAGCAAGAAAUAGUACCGUUAUCUAAUAAUAAUUUCUUUAUUGAAAAUUUUUCCACGGGAAUGUACAGACAAUUUCAUUACGUUUGGUACAUUUUUAUGAAUUUAGUAGUCCCUCUCGCGAAUUAAUUUUAAGCAGUCUGGGCCAAACACAAGGUAUCAGUUGACAGUGUUGCGAAACCUUGCGUUUCUCUCUACCAAUAACAUGGUGUGGUAGGAGGCGAAUUCUUCAUCUCUCUGUUUGUUCCAGGAUUGUUUCUGCAGGGGACAAAGUUGUGCAAGUUUUCCACUGACAAGGGUGUUUCCUUAUACUACCUGAAUUAAUUAUAAGUAGUCUGGUGUAAUUACAAGGGGCGUGACUGCGUCGGAACGAUUUAAUUUGACGAACUUAUUUAUUCCAAUGACCAACAUAGGAACUCUGAACUGUUCUGAUGUGACGGAUAAGGUGCAUGCCAGAAGUUUUUAUUGGAAUGCAUGUAGCUUCAAGCUACGUUUUACAGCUCGAUGGAAUUUAAGGUUUUCACAGCUUUAAAAACUCGGAUUGAGAACUCACCGGUUAUGACGCGAUACGUUCCAUGGCAAUGUGUGGCAACUGGCAAUGUUGGCAACAACCCGAAGACCGCAAUAUGUACCUAUGAUAUAACAUUUACUAACUCUGCAUUCUGCUCACGGAGUGUCAGUAUACUUUUCAGGAUAACGGCUGUUAUAUCCGUCUCUGCAGACCAGACAGUAAAGAAGAUGCAGAUUACUAUUAUUCCAACGAUGAUGACAGGGAUUAUGAUGAAGAUGAGCAGGACGACUCUUAUACUGGAUCGCCGCCUGUAA